RNAcentral lists this ribosomal RNA (472 nucleotides) under uncultured bacterium. RNAcentral's name for it is "bacterial SSU rRNA". It matches the Rfam family "Bacterial small subunit ribosomal RNA", at positions 28 to 497 of the family's 1533-position model. The record is from RNAcentral.
GACGAACGCUGGCGGCGUGCCUAACACAUGCAAGUCGAACGGAACUGUUUUGAAAGAUUUCUUCGGAAUAAAUUUGAUUUAGUUUAGUGGCGGACGGGUGAGUAACGCGUGAGUAACCUGCCUUCAAGAGGGGGAUAACAUUCUGAAAAGAAUGCUAAUACCGCAUGACAUAUCGGAAUCACAUGGUUCUGAUAUCAAAGAUUUUAUCGCUUGAAGAUGGACUCGCGUCCGAUUAGUUAGUUGGUGAGGUAACGGCUCACCAAGACCGCGAUCGGUAGCCGGACUGAGAGGUUGAACGGCCACAUUGGGACUGAGACACGGCCCAGACUCCUACGGGAGGCAGCAGUGGGGGAUAUUGCGCAAUGGGGGCAACCCUGACGCAGCAACGCCGCGUGAAGGAUGAAGGUUUUCGGAUUGUAAACUUCUUUUAUUAAGGACGAAAAAUGACGGUACUUAAUGAAUAAGCUCCGGC